AAUGAACGCUGGCGGCGCGCCUAAUACAUGCAAGUCGAGCGAGAAGACGUAGCAAUACGUUUGUAAAGCGGCGAACGGGUGAGGAAUACAUGGGUAACCUACCCUCGAGUGGGGAAUAACUAGCCGAAAGGUUAGCUAAUACCGCGUACGCUUCUUGGACUUCGGUUCAGGGAGGAAAGCGAUGCCGAGGGUAUCGCGCUCUUGGAUGGGCUCAUGUCCUAUCAGCUUGUUGGGAGUAC
Molecule: ribosomal RNA, 239 nt
Filed under: uncultured bacterium
Lineage: Bacteria
Description: partial 16S ribosomal RNA
Rfam family: Bacterial small subunit ribosomal RNA
Source: RNAcentral